Molecule: ribosomal RNA, 252 nt
Filed under: uncultured bacterium
Lineage: Bacteria
Description: partial 16S ribosomal RNA
Rfam family: Bacterial small subunit ribosomal RNA
Source: RNAcentral
ACGGAGGGUGCAAGCGUUAUCCGGAAUCAUUGGGUUUAAAGGGUCCGUAGGCGGACUAAUAAGUCAGGGGUGAAAUCCAACAGCUUAACUGUUGAACUGCCUUUGAUACUGUUAGUCUUGAGUUAUAUGGAAGUAGAUAGAAUAUGUAGUGUAGCGGUGAAAUGCUUAGAGAUUACAUAGAAUACCGAUUGCGAAGGCAGUCUACUACGUAUAUACUGACGCUAAUGGACGAAAGCGUGGGGAGCGAACAGG